CCUACGGGUGGCAGCAGUGAGGAAUAUUGGUCAAUGGACGCAAGUCUGAACCAGCCAUGCCGCGUGCAGGAAGACGGCUCUAUGAGUUGUAAACUGCUUUUGUACGGGGAUAAACGCAGAUACGUGUAUCUGUCUGAAAGUAUCGUACGAAUAAGGAUCGGCUAACUCCGUGCCAGCAGCCGCGGUAAUACGGAGGAUUCGAGCGUUAUCCGGAUUUAUUGGGUGUAAAGGGUGCGUAGGCGGGCGGAUAAGUUAGAGGUGAAAUCCCGAGGCUCAACUUCGGAAUUGCCUCUGAUACUGUCAGGCUAGAGAGUAGGUGAGGUAGGCGGAAUGUAUGGUGUAGCGGUGAAAUGCUUAGAGAUCAUACAGAACACCGAUUGCGAAGGCAGCGUACCAGGCUACUACUGACGUUGAGGCACGAAAGCGUGGGGAGCAAACAGGAUUAGAUACCCCUGUAGUC
Molecule: ribosomal RNA, 460 nt
Filed under: uncultured bacterium
Lineage: Bacteria
Description: partial 16S ribosomal RNA
Rfam family: Bacterial small subunit ribosomal RNA
Source: RNAcentral